Molecule: long non-coding RNA, 14746 nt
Filed under: Lynx pardinus (Iberian lynx)
Lineage: Eukaryota; Metazoa; Chordata; Mammalia; Carnivora; Felidae
Source: RNAcentral
CUAGGUCUGACAUCAGAGAUGAAGCUGGCUGUGCCCUGGGGACACAUCGCUGCCAAACUCUGGGGCUCCCAGCAGGGCCCCCCGGUUCUUUGCCUGCACGGCUGGCUGGACAAUGCCAACUCCUUUGACAGACUCAUCCCUCUUCUCCCAAAAGGUAGGGCUGAAGGGAAGCGAGGGGCAGCAGGGCAUAGACUGCAGGUGAGAGGUGGGGGGAGACGUCUGACCUAGGUGCCUUCUCUUAACCCCUGUCUCUCGUCUCAGACUUUCAUUACGUUGCCAUGGAUUUCGGGGGACAUGGGCUCUCAUCGCAUUACAGCCCAGGUCUCCCGUAUUACCAGCAAAACUUUGUGAUUGAGGUCCAGAGAGUUGUAGCAGGUAAAUAAGAGGCCGAGUGUGUGUUUGUGUGUGUGUGUGUGUGUGUGUGUGUGUGUGUGUGUGUGUAGGGGUGCACUGGGGACAUCCCCUGUCCUCUCUGGAGUGGGGUGUGGUAACCAGGUAGCGAUCCCGGCCUGGGAGUGACCUGGGGUCUGGCCCUAGUCCUGCCACGAAUUCAUGGGUGACUCUGGGAGAGCUGGAGAGGACGGGCCAAAGAAGAGCUCUAUUCCUCCUGUGGGUUCUGCUCCCGCAGGGAAGCUGGGGUCCCUCUGAGCUAGUUUCCUGAGUGGGGCACCCCAGAUGCUGGGGACGGAUGUCGUGACCUCAGGGACUGCAGGACAGAGGUUUGCGGGAGGCUGGGCCCAUCCAAAGCUGGCUCCGUAUGUUUUCAGCUUUGAAAUGGAAUCGUUUUUCCAUCAUGGGCCACAGUUUUGGUGAGUACACGUUACACUUGGGCGGGCGGGGGGCUGACUGGGCUGGGGGGCUGCGAGGGAGGGAGAAAAUCGGUACACCAGUACCCUGCACUUCUGGGCACUGCAAGGAGAGGGGAAGGGGUGUGCGGGCGCUAUGGGCGCUCUGCCCUUUGGCCUGAGGCAACUCCCCCAAGGGACAUACGGCCCCAGAGGUGGCUGUCUUCCAACGUGACAAGAGAAAUGUGGCCUUUUGAGUGGUUAGGUCUGACGGAGGGGCCAUAUGGCCCCAGGGAGGGAACCCCAAGUUUGACAGUGAAUGAAGAGCCCCAGGGGGAGAGAGGAGCCAGGCCCCUAGCCUGGGGUGGGGCAGCCCUUGGGAGGAAGUUUUCGUAGGACUUCAAGAGCUGGGAGAAUACCAGCCCACUCUUCUUUUGCCCCCUCCCCAGGCGGUAUUGUGGGCGGAAUGGUGAGUAGAUGGCUUUGCAGUGACCACCUCUGGCCACCUUGGGCGCUCUGACAGGUGGCGGGGGGCGGGGGGCGGGUGGUGGUUGCGGGGGAGAGCGGGAGAAAGAAGGGGAAGGCGCCAGGAAAGGAAGUGUGUCCUCCUGUCACCAACUUGAAGUCAGCAUUUUAUGACCUAGUGUCACUUUGCUCUGUCGCUGGCAGUAAUCAUUCUUGUGGGGAGGUUGGUGAAACUGGAGAUUCCUGAUGGAGUUCAGAGUUUCCACAUUCUUCAUCCCCAGGGAGCCCUGCAAUCUAGCAGGAGGUGGACCUUGGUCUGAGUGUGGACCUUGGGGGGAGGGGAGAGGAGGCUACCCUGAAGGGAAGAAAGACACUGGAAAUACCAGUGUCCCCAGGGAAAAGCUGGAGUCUCAUUGCCUUCUUCCUCUCCUACUCAUUGUUUCCUUUUUGGGUCCCAUCAAGUAUUCCUGUACCUUCCCCGAGACGGUGGAUAAACUUAUCUUGCUGGACACGUUGCCGUGUGCCCUGGACUAUAAAGUAAGAACAAAGGCUUUCAUGCGUACUGUCAUGGGGGAGACCCAGGCCCCCCGGUAGUGUCCUCAGCGCUGUCUCUUUGGUGGGUACCAGGGAGACGGGAGAAGGUGGCAGAGGGUAGACAAGGGGGGAUCAGAGAGGAUCCCCGCAGAGGACAGGGUUGUGCAGCCUAUACCCCCAAGGAGUGGGCAGAGAAAGGGGUUGCAGGGGUCUUUGUGGUCCUUGGAAACCCUGUAUGUGGCAUGGCUACAGAAUGCCAGGUCAGUCACGAAGUGGCAGGGGACGGAGAGGGUAGGAACGGUGGAUUGAGGAAGCUCUGGGCGCACACAGCUUGGCGAGGCCACCCGCACUCACGCUCAGUUGCAUGCUUUUGCGCUGUGCACACACUGGACAACCGCACACGGCAGCCCUGAGUGCAGACCAAUGGGAAAGUGCCGAUCCCUGCAUCUCGCCGCCGCCACCAGUGACAACAAACAGUGCCGUCCCUGCAUCUGGGUCCUGGCUCUGCCAUUGACCUGCUGGGUGACCCUGGGCAAGCGACUUGGCCUAUCCGGACCAAAAUGAGAUGGUUGGGCUAGAUGACCUCAGAGGUGUCUGCCCCCCCCCCCCCUCACAUUCGGUCAUCCUGCUUCCCGAGGGCUCAGUCUCUCGGUGAGGACACAGCUUUGUCACCAAUUCCAGUUUCUUAUCUGUAAAAUGGCCACAGAUGCCAAAAGGGCAUGAACCACGCUGUCUUUUUAUUACCACAUGCCCAAUCCCAGCAUACAGUAAGCGCUCAGUAGGUGCUGGUUUCAUGAGUAGAUGGCCUGUGGGUUAACGUGAGGAUCCAGUGAGACUUGGGCUGCUCUUCCUUCCUUAUCUGAGUUACCAAACACGGUGCCCCAGGAUCUUCCUCCCGGGGGUCUGGGGAUCUGGUCCUCUUUGUCCUGCGUUCUCUGGGGGUUGGAUGGGAGCGUCACUUCCCACUGCUGCUCACGGAGCCGACCGUGGGCAGGGCUGGGCUGUUCUCAGAGGGAGCUGGGUUGGGAAUGGCUACGCUCGAAGGGGGGGCUGGAAGCCCCAAGUGCUCCGCUCGGCAGUCGCCUCUCCACCAUUUGGAGUGAGAGCAUUAAUUAAACCAGAUGAACUUGCCGACCCUGGGUGGUGCUUGGCUUCCGGGCCUACCGCUGCACCUUUGCAAAGCUCUGGCAGUUGACCGAGGUUUCCUUUCUCUUCCAUCCUCCUCCAACCUGAUCCCUGCGGCUGUCCGACCCCAGGCGGGGCUGGCCUGGCUGUGACCGAGGCAGACAACUUGCCCUGAUCACAGACUAACUAGCAGCGGUUGAUCCUGUGCCCCACCCCCUCACUGGGUCAGAAGGACUCCCGGCUAAAGGGGGCGCACGGGGGCCGGGGGAGGAGCUGGCCCCUUUGUCUGCAGCCCGGAGUCCUGCCCACCCAGCAGAACCUGCGACCCCCCCAGGAAUCGGAGAACUUGCUGACCUAUAAGCGAAGAAUGAUAGAGCACAUGCUACAGAUAGAGGCCUCCCAGAAGCCCCAGCGAGUGCUCAGCCCGGAGGAGAUGCUGCAGGGGUGAGUGCAAUCCGGUGAGACGGGGCUGUGGCGGAGCUGGAGGAGCUAUGGGAUACCAAGGGAGGACAUCUCUGGGGCACAGAGGGGGCAUCUGUCUCCUCGCAGAUGCACAGCAAGCCUGUUUCUCUCUGUGCUCCCCCUGGGCACCAGGCUGCCUGGCUCUCUUCAGACACCCCAGCCGGGACUUGAUCUGCCUCUUAUCCUCCCCGCUGUAUAGCCACGCCCUUCGUGUACCAGGACCCCUCUCCACACGUCCUCUGCCCCGCUUCUUCGCCCUGUAAUUCCUCCCUGGCCCUCUCUGCAGGCACCUUGCUAACUUCCCCGCUCCUCCUUCCGGCCUCGGCUGGCUGCCUCUUCCGCCGGGACUCUGACUCUGCCAGGUCCAGUUGCCCUGUGGGCAACUGAAGAUCUGUGGCGGUGGCCGCUGGCGGGUUGCCUUUGUCCCUCCGCCGCUGGAAGUGUCGCUGGUAGCCAGGGAUCUAUAAAUAUUUGUGGUCUAAAGGGGUGAAAAUGCACACACCUACGCACACUCACAUACGCACCCUGCUGAUGCGGACGUCCCCACCGACACAUGCCUGUGUCCUCCGUGGGGCGGCCCUCCUCUCCUCUCCAUCUGACCUCCCCUGCCCCAAGACGUUGAGCGUCCCUCUGUCUUCCCCAGGUUCCUGAAGAACAACAGUCACGUGGGUGAGGAAUGCGCACGGCUCCUCCUGCAGAGAGGAACCACCCAGGUGGCCACAGGUAGGGACUGUCACCCUCCGAGACCGUCGCUUACUGGCACUGUUCUUAUUGAGGAGCGAUAGCUAAGCUCCAGGGCCGCUUGCUCCGGACCUGGCAUCACGCUAAGUGCUCAGCAAACAGUAUCUCACGGAACCCCCCUGCUGCCCUAUACUCACCCCCUCCAGAGCCGGAGAAACUGAGGCUCGGAAAGGCCGAGUGACUCACGCCAGCUCAGGCAGCUGAGAGUCGUCAGGUGUCUUCGGACUGAACGUUGGGGAAUGUUCCAGCCAUGCUGUGCUGGCCCGUGUGGCGGGUGCUGGUGUCCGAGGCUAGGGUUUGAGGCAACGUGACUCAAAAGAGGUUUUUCAAAAUGGACAAGCGGACAGGGUGCCUGGCAGGCUCAGUCAGUAGAGCAUGUGACUCUUGAUCUCAGGGUCGUGAGUGCCACCCCACGUUGGGAGUGGAAAAAAAAGAAGGCGCACCGGCGGGGGGGGGGGGGGGGCUCAGUCGGUUAAGCGUCCGACUUCGGUUCAGGUCACGAUCUCGCGGUUCAUGGGUUCGAGCCUCGCGUCAGGCUCUGUGCUGACAGCUCAGAGCCUGGAGCCCGCUUCGGAUUCCGGGUCUCCCUCUCUCUCUGCCCCUCCCCUGCUCUCACUCUGUCUCUCUCUCAAAAAUAAAUAAACAUAAAAAAAAAUAAAUUAAAAUAAAAUAAAGACCCAAUUUCCAACUAUCCCCCUUUUACUAAAACAAAUCUAAUUGUAAGACAGCCCUAUAGUUUAUGGGUCUAGGAAUUAGUCAUUUCCAAUUAGAUUACGGCCAGGUUUGUGCCAAGUUACCAGAACCUGCAACAACAAACCAAAUGAAGCCCAGGGUGCUUCUGUUAGCGCUGGUUUUUCCCCAAAAGUUGGAGGCUUCCCUGAUCGACCCAAACAGCUUCCUGGUUUCCGGUUUCUUAGUCUUAGGGCUUAUGCUAAGCGAAAUUAGUCAGUCAGAGAAAGACAAAAAUCAUAUGACUUCACUCCUAUGAGGACUUUAAGAGACAAAACAGAUGAACGUAAGGGAAGGGAAACAAAAAUAAUAUAAAAACAGGGAGGGGGACAAAACGUAAGAGACUCAUACAUAUGGAAAACAAACUGAGGGUUACUGGAGGGGUUGUGGGAGGGGGGAGGGGCUAAAUGGGGAAGGGGCACUAAGGAAUCUACUCCUGAAAUCAUUGUUGCGCCAUAUGCUAACUAAUUUGGAUGUAAAUUAAAAAAAAAAUUUUUUUAAAAACAAACAAAAAAAUCUGGGGUUCCUUCCACCCACUCCUCAGUUUCAGAGGCUUACAGAACUUGGGAAACCCAUUUACUCCCUAGGAUACAGUUCAUUAUAAAGGAUACACCUGAGGAACAGCCAGACGGGAGAGAUCCAGAAGGCAGCGUGUGAGGGAGGGGUGCGGAGCGUCCACGCGUCCCCUGGGUGCACCGUCCUCCCAGCACCAAUGUGUUCACCAGCCUGGGAAGCUCCCUGAACCCCCUAGUUGAGGGAUUUUUUUAAUGGAGGCUUCGCCGUGUAGACAUGAUCCAUCAUCACAGUUUCUGGUCCCUCUCCCCUUCCCAGAGGAUGGGGAGGUAGACGUAAAAUUUCAGGCUUCUAAUCACAGGUUGACCCUGAGGCUAUCUAGAGCCCACCAAGAGCCCCCUCAUUAGGACCAAAGAUGCUCCUAUCACCUAGGAAAUUGCAAGGGAUUCUGAAGCUCUGUGUCAGGACCUGGCCUCAAAGGCCAGAUAUUAGAACAAAAGAUGCUCCUAGCACCUUUAUUACUUAGAUUACACAGGCUUUAGGAGCUCUGGCCAGGACCAGGCCUGCAGACUAAAAUAUCUACUUCCUAUUAUAUCACAACAGCACAGUCUUUAUUGGCUGUGGCAGGAGACGGGUGGGAGGUGGUCUAGGGUUCUGAUCAUAUCUUCUGCCUUCGAAAGUAUUUUCUUAUGAAUUGUAUGUUUCCCGCGACUUGUUAGGGAUUCCAACAGUCUUGGAGGAGGUGUCGGCUCACAAGUCGCUGGCCCGGCUAGCCCGAGAGGCCCCAGCAGGCUCUGGGCAGGCCGAGCCCAGUCUCUCCUCUUUCCGGGGCUCACACUGGCCUCAUCCCUCUCAGUUCCUAACCAAUGAAACAGGUUGUUAAGGGAGUUAAGUCAGUGCAAAGCCCCGCUGAGCAGCUGCUGGCCCUGAUGUCGUGGGACCUGAGUCUGAGAAGAGGACCAAGCAGCCUUCCAAAAAAGCUAGGGCUGCUUGCUCUUGGAUCUGUUCGUGGAACUCCUCUAAGGGAUAUCUGUGCUGGCCUGCUGGUCUGAGAAACACAUUUCUGGCCUUCGAAAGUCUCACUGUCUCGUGGGGGGCGGGGGGGAGCAACAGAAAAGCAGCCAGGCUGUGGGCCUGCUGGGGCCUGUUUAGGAUGUGCCCAGUGGAAGCGAGUCUUGGAAUAGGAGGAGGAUGUGGCCAAAGAGGAGAGAAGCCGUGGCCCAGGGCAGAGAAAACAGCUCGGUAGGAACCCCCAGGUACCUUGGGGGUCACCCCACCCUUAAGGUAACCCCCUUUCAAAGUUGUUUCACAUCCUCUGAGCAGCUGGAGCCCAGGCCUGGAGGAAGGAGGAGGCAGCGAGCCCAGGUGGGGGCCCCGGGGUUGCCUGUGGUCCUGCACGGGCAGCGGGGGCUGAUUGUCAGUGCAGGGAGGUCACGGCCAGAGCCGAAGGUCACCCAGAGGCCUCAGCCUUGGUUUCAUUAGGCCGAGAUGAUUACACGGUCCUCCCAAGUAUUUUGAGUUCCAAAUGCCUAAGAACCUCUAACAACAGUUAAUCGUCUAUAUUUAAAACUAUGUCUAAAAGUUCCAUAAUCUCUAAUUAGAGGGGGAAACCUAAUAAUUAUGGAAAAGAGCUCUCCUUAAUGUUCCCAUAAUUGUUUCUCGGAAAGCCAUUUUGUAUUCAAACAUCAGUUUUCCAGCAGGGAGACCUCACGCCCUUCCCCUGGUGGACCCCCCACCCCUGCGUCCUGCCCAAGUACCCCUUCCUCCAGAGCUGAUGGGGUGUACAAAGGGCUGGGCACAGGGGCGCCUGGGUGGCUCAGUCGGUUAAGCGGCCGACUUCGGCCCAUGAUCUCGCGGUCCGUGAGUUCGAGCCCUGCGUCGGGCUCUGUGCUGACAGCUCAGAGCCUGGAGCCUGUUUCAGAUUCUGUGUCUCCCUCUCUCUGACCCUCCCCCGUUCAUGCUUUGUCUCUCUCUGUCUCAAAAAUAAAUAAACGUUAAAAAAAAAAUUAAAAAAAAAAAAACAACAAAGGGCUGGGCACGGAUGCCAACCUAGUCGCCAUUUUGGUUUUGCUUUUUACGUGAAUAUUACUUUUUCGAACAGGUGCUACAUGACGUAGUUUGAAACACAAUGUACCAUAAACAGCUCUGCGUGUCUCGCCGUGUCUUACCCCUUUCCCAUCCUUGUGGCUCAGCUCACCCCCCAGGAUAACCCGCUUUUUAAGCGUGCUCAUAUCCUUCCAGUCCACCGUCAGGCUGCGGCAGAGAACCGAGGCUUGGCCAGCAGGUGGGACCACGGGUCUCCCAACCCCGCCAACCUUCUUUUCUCUUUGACACUUGAUGGCACUGAUGCUUAGCCACUGGGUACUUCCUGGGGUUUAAAGAUCACGCGAUCACCUUAAGGUUCUCAGAGAUGACAGCCACCAUCCAUCACCGUCCUGCACCGCUCUCUGGGGUGGCCCGAGGGACGUGCCCGGGUGGGCCACACUGGCCCGUGUCCGGGUGGCCAUGGCCAAGCUCUGCUGCCCUGGCUCGGUCCCAAGAGGACACGAGUGCAGGCUGAGGAAGUGCACCCCGGCUGGAAGGGCCCCGGGUCCCCAGGGAAGCCGCGCCGAGUCCCUCACCCGGACAGGCAGCACUGAGGCCCCCGUCUUUGUGCUUCUGUUCCAGGUCUGGUGCUGAGCAGAGACCGGAGGAUCUCUUUGGUGAGUGCGGCCGUCUCUCUUUCUCUUUUGUUAUCGCCGUCCAACAUGCGUGGCACAAUAGUCACCGUUUUAAAAUCACUCGUAAGUGUCCAGUUCAGUGGCACUAAAUACAUUCACAAUGUCAUACGACCAUCGUUGCCCCCAGAAAAACUCUGUCCCCACCGAACACCGGUUCUCCACCCUCCCCCCGUCCCUGGUGGCCACCGUUCUGUUUUCUCCGUCUGAACUUAGCUGGUCUAGGGACCUCAUCUAAGUGGAAUCAUGCAAAACGUGGCCUCCUGCGUCCGGCUUAUUUCUCUUACUGUUUCCAAAGCUCAUCCGUGUUGUGGCAGGUGAUGGAAUUUCAUUCCUCCCGUGACUAAUAUUCCGUUUGUCUGGAGCGAUCCACGCAUCCGUCGAUCGACACUUGUGUCCCCCUUUCGGUGACGGUGACUAUGAACCAUGCUGCUGUGAACACGGCUUAUGAAUAUCGGUUCGAGCCCUUGCUUUCAAUUUUUUUUUUUUUAAUUUUUUUUUUCAACGUUUAUUUAUUUUUGGGACAGAGAGAGACAGAGCAUGAACGGGGGAGGGGCAGAGAGAGAGGGAGACACAGAAUCGGAAACAGGCUCCAGGCUCCGAGCCAUCAGCCCAGAGCCCGACGCGGGGCUCGAACUCACGGACCGCGAGAUCGUGACCUGGCUGAAGUCGGACGCNNNNNNNNNNNNNNNNNNNNNNNNNNNNNNNNNNNNNNNNNNNNNNNNNNNNNNNNNNNNNNNNNNNNNNNNNNNNNNNNNNNNNNNNNNNNNNNNNNNNNNNNNNNNNNNNNNNNNNNNNNNNNNNNNNNNNNNNNNNNNNNNNNNNNNNNNNNNNNNNNNNNNNNNNNNNNNNNNNNNNNNNNNNNNNNNNNNNNNNNNNNNNNNNNNNNNNNNNNNNNNNNNNNNNNNNNNNNNNNNNNNNNNNNNNNNNNNNNNNNNNNNNNNNNNNNNNNNNNNNNNNNNNNNNNNNNNNNNNNNNNNNNNNNNNNNNNNNNNNNNNNNNNNNNNNNNNNNNNNNNNNNNNNNNNNNNNNNNNNNNNNNNNNNNNNNNNNNNNNNNNNNNNNNNNNNNNNNNNNNNNAGCGGCCGCUCCUGGUCCUUCCAGGCGCCUUGCACGUGUGCCCGGGUAGUCCUCACUGCAGCCCCAGAGGAGGGACCUGUCGGCCCCCGCAGGCGAGGACACGAAGGCAGCCUGACGACUUGCCUGCGGUCAAGCAGCACCGUCGGUGGGGGCUGCACACCCACGAACGACUGAAAAACCAUUACUGACACACAGGUGCCCACAGAGCAAAACGCGAAUGUCAAGGCCCACCGUUGGCCACGUUGAGGGCAGACUUUGCAGCCCCAUCUGUGUUUUCGUGACUAUGAACGUAGACGCCGACCUAUUUUAGGGCUCUUUGUUUUUGCUGUUCGUUUAGGCUUUCACAUAAGUGGUUGCAAAUGCUUCCGUGGAUGUGGAUUAACUGGAAGGGCAGCGGGAGUUCAGGAAAGGCACACUGGAGGGGGGGGCGGAGGGGGCGGUCAGAGGAGUUUCCUGGAGGAAGUGGGACGUGAGCCAGGUCCAGAGUGGUGGGAUCGGCCUGGGUAAGAAGGGGAAGACUUUCCAGGUACCUGCUUACCGUGUAGAUAGGGGCUUAGAAUAGGCUUAGCGCACGUGUUGAGAUGGGGUUCCUGAUGGAGGGUGUGAAGACCAGAAGGGGAGAGAGGGGCUGCAUAACACGAGGCCUGGAAGCCAGCAGCCAGCCUGGAGCUGUGCGACAGGGGCAUUUGCAGAAACUCCACCACAGAGGCUGUGUGACCUUGGGCAAGCCACUUACCCCCUCCGAACCUGUCUUGUGUGCAAAAAGGAAGUGCAUUCAUUCGUUUAUUCAUCCAUGCAGCUGGUUAAUGAAAAGCUAGGAGGUACCAGCCCCUAUGCCCACCUUUGUGGGGUUGCUGUGUAGACUAGUUAAGGCCUGUGUGUUGAGUGCUCUAGCACAUUGCUUUAGGUGCUCACAGACGGUGCUCUUAAUGAGAUUGUUUAAGAGAGUAACUUGUUUUGCACAUGUGAGAUGCUGUCAUUAGAGAUGGGAACCUCUGGCCUCAGGUGGGCUCAGGGAGACCACUGAGAGUCACCACCCAGGCCCAGAUGUGGACAUGAGGCCAGGACCAGGGCAUUAGCCAAAGGGAUGAGAAUGUUUGACUUUUGGUUUUGAUCCAACUGGGAUCUGUUCUCAAUAUGGUGUGAGGUAGGGAUCCAUUUUCAUUUUCCCCCCAGAUGAAUAGCCAGUUGGCCCAUUACCAGUUAUUGGGGGUCCUCCUAACCACUAAGACUCACUCACCGUGUUUUGUCUUCUGUGUGCCGGUCCUCAGGCUGGGAGCUAAUUGCCAGAUUCUAACCAGUGGGGUCCUGGAGGCCCCUGUUGGAAAGCUUCCCUCCAGAAAGAGUGAUCCUGGCUGGACCCCUGACCUGAGCCAGGCGACCCUCUAGGCAGCAGGGCAGGGCCCCAACUCUACAUUGCUCCACGGUGCGGGUUGGGGUGGUUACUUUUUGUGGCAUUUGAAAACACCCCUUCCCCCUCCUAGGAGCACACAGCUGUUCUGCAGCGGGGUCAUGGUCAGUCACAGUGCCCAAAAUGGGAAGAGUGCCCACCGAUUUGAAGUUUACAUUUGGAACAUAAACUGAAUUACAAAAGAUACAAAUUCUAAAAUUUCAUUUUAGAAUUCCAUUUUUUGUUCCAUUGAUCUUGUCACCAUCUGAGAAAUACCAUUCUAUUUUAAUUCCUAUUUCCUUCAAAUUGUUUUGAUAGUUAGUAGAACCAGUGCUCUCUCCUUGUUCUUCUUUUACACAUUUCCUUGGCUUUUAUUGCAUAUUUUCACUCCCAAAUGAAGUUUGGAACGGUCAUCUUCUGCUAAAAAUUAUAUUGGGAUGGGGCACGUGGCUGGCUCAGUUGGUAGAACAUGCAGCUCUUGAUCUUGAGGUCGUGAGUUCAAACCCCAUGUUGGGCAUAAAGCUUACUUAAAAAAAGAUUAUAUUGGGAUAAUACUGAGUUUGUAGAAUACUUUGGGAAUUUAGUUACUGUUAAAAUUAUGAAUGGGUAUCACUUAUUCAUAAUAAAGGCACCGCCUCAAUUUAGUGGCUUUCAGGCAACGGGUUAUCCAUAUGAAAAAGUACGAUCCUAGAUCAUUGCCUCACACUACACACAAAAAUAAUUCCAGAUGGAUCACAGAUCAUAACAUGAGAGCUAAAACAGUAAGGGUUCUAAAGAAAACAGGGAAUACCUUCAUGACCUUGACAUAGACAAUAUAUUUUAAAUAAAACAACAUACACAUGUGAAUCAAUAAAAAUAUUGACAAACAGGUCUUUAUUAAAAUUUAGAAUUUCUGUUCAUCAUGGGGGCACCUGGGUGGCUCAGUGGGUUGAGUGUCUGACUCUUGACUUUGGCUCAGGUCAUGAUCCCAGGGUUGUGGGACUGAGCCAUGCAUUUGGCUCCAUGCUGAGUGGAGAUUCUCUCUCCCUCCCUCUGCUCCUUCCCCCCACUUGUGCUCAUGCACACUCUCUUUCUCCCUCAAAAAGAAAAAAAUAAUAACAAUACUUUCUGUUCAUCAAAAGACAAUUUAAGAGAGUGCAAAGUCAAGCCACAGACUAAAAGAAGAUAUUUAAAUGCAUAGGUCUACUAGAGGACUCAUACACAGAAUAUAUAAAGAGCUCUGACAAAUCAAUAAGGUAAAAACUAACAACCUCAUUUUUAAAAACAGGCAAAAGAUUUUAACAGGCACUUCAAGAAAAAGGCUAUCCAAGUGGCCAAUCAACACAUGAAAGGUGCUCAUCAUCGUUAAUUAGGGCAAUGCAAAUCAAAAGACCAAUGAGACACCUCUACGUCACUGGAAUAGCCAAAAUCAAAAGGCCUGACAUCACUAAGUCUUUUUUUUUUUUUUUAAGUUUAGUUUUUGAGAGCGAGCGAGCGAGCAGUGGAGGGGCAGAGAGAGAGAGAGAGAGAGAGAGAGAGAGAGAAUCCCAAGCAGGCUCUGCACUGUCAGCACAGAGUCCGGUGUGGGGCUUGAACUCACUGACCGUGAGAUCAUGACCUGAGCUGAAAUCAAGAGUCAGACACGGACUGAGCCACCCAGGCGCCCCCUGACAACACCAAGUCUUCCUCGGGGCAUGGAGCAACCAGAAUUCAUCUACACUGCAGGAGGAAAUACAAAUUGAUGCAACCAUUUGGAAAAUUGUUGCAGAACUGCUAAAGCAAAAUAUAGGCAAAUCCUGUGAGCCCGCAAUUCCACUCCUAGGUGUAAACCUAGCAAAAAUACGUGCCGUGCGCACAAAAGACACGUGUGAGGAUGCUCAUAACAGCUUCAUUCGUAACAGUCCCAAGCUGGAACUCACCUACAUGUCUUUGAACGACAGAAUGCAUAAGUUGUUAUACAUUCAGACGCCGGAGCACCACACAGGAAUGAGAAAACCAACACACUCACAGAGCAAAAGAAGCCAGGAAGAAGAGAGCACUCUGUAUGAUUCCAUUUACCCGAAGCUCAAGCAGAGGCAAAUUGAUCUCUGGGGCUAGAGGUCCGAAUAGGGACGUCCUUGGAGAAUACUCCGGGGGGGAACCUGCUGGGGGCUGGUGAUGUUCCAGGCUUCGAUCUGGGUCACAUGGAGCAUUUAUUGUGAAGGGCCAUCAUGAACCGACACAUAGAUCUGGGGACUUUGCCGUAAGUUACACUUGAAUUACAAGAGAAAACGUGGGCUGCCUUGGUGGCUCAGCUGGUUGGGCGACUUGAUUUCAGCGUAGGUCACGGUCUCACGGUUCACAGAUUUGCUCACAGCAUGGAGCCUGCUUUGGAUCCGUCUCCCUCUCUCUGCCCCUCUCUAGCUCACGUACUCGCUCUCAAAAACAAACAAAAAAAGUCAAAAAAAUUUUUACAAAAGAAAAAUAUACAUUGGGAAGUGAAAGUGGGCUAGGGAAAGAAGGUAAGAGGAGAGGGAUGUAGACGCAGAGACAACCAAAAAAAAAAAAAAAGACAAGCACACCCAAUAGCCUUUGCUCUUAAAGACUUUCUUGGAGAAAUAUCCUCCUAUCUUGGCCUUGGAAGAAACCACUGCAAAACCCCAGCCUUGUGUUGCGCUUUCACACCUGGAGACGUACGUGGAGGGAAUAUCCCUCAGUCUCUGCCUUGGGGACCAACAUAGAAUUGAGUCGAGGGCCUGAGCCCACAAGCCGGAGAGCCCCAGUUCGGCCAGAGAAGCCUAUGGAAGCAAGGCGAAGAGGAUGGGGGCUGGGGGCAGACACCUGAGCCGAGUCCUGGUGCCAUCUCCUGUUUGCUCUCGUGCAUCUUUAGCCCGUGUGAUCCUCCACCAAAGCACCGUUUUAAUAUGCCCAUCAGCACGGGUCCCGGGGAGCCCCUCUGUGGGCAGGAGCCACCUUGGUGCUUUUCCUUGAGCUGGGCGCUCUGCCUGGAGGAGAGGGUGCAGCAUGACCGGGUCCUCGUAGACCGUUCAUCUGGGAACGCCUGUUUCUGAAGAGCACCCAAGGUCAUUUUCGCCCGAGGAGGGGGAACUAGCUGGGAGGUCGGCGCAGAACAAGGGCAGUGUGCUCUCAUGGCUGUGACCAGGGAGGCGUGCUUGUGUGCACAUGUGUGCUCUCAUGAGGAUUUCACACCCGUCAAGGGGGUGGAGGAGUGUCGGGCACUUGACGCAGUCAGUCCUCGUGGGAGCUUUGUGGAAUUCAUCCGCUCAGCACCCCUGUAUCGAGCUCCUCCUAUGGCACAUCUCGAGUUCUGGGGCUGGGGCAGCACAGUCUGGUACAAGCAUAACGUGAGCCUCACAUAAUUUCACGUCUCGGAGUAGCCACAUUAGAGUAAAAAGAAACAGGUGAGACCAACUUUCGCAUUUUUUAACUCCAUGUAUCCGAGAUGUAGUCAGUAUAAACAUUUCAGAUAUUGGGCCUUUUUUCAUGCUGUCUUUGAAAUCCUCUGUCCAGUUUCCACCUACAGCGCAUCUCAGCUUGGACUAGGCCCAUUUCGAGCACUCCUAGCCACGUAUGUGUCCCUUGUGGGACAGCACAGAUCUGACGCCUUCGAUGGUCAUAAGACAGGGUGGUCCGGGCUAUGAUGGAGGCCUGCAGGGGCGGUGGGGACAUCGAGGUAUAUUCAUUCUGCCCUGUGGCUUAAGCAGGUUUCUUUCUCGUGGAAAUGGCUGGUGCGGGCACGCGGGCCGCUGCCUGGCCGGUCAGCACUACAGGGCGGCCUGUGGAUGGGGAAAGGGGUUUCGGGGCAAGGGGCCACACCUAGUCCUCAAAUCUAGGCCCAGAAGCAGCCCGGGUCACUUCUCUGCAUUUAGUCGCACAAGCACACCAGGAGGUAAAGGGAUUUGGACACGUCUGGCUGGGCAGCGGUGAGCCCAGAAAGAGGGAGAACAGAUUUAGGGGGAAAACCAGUCUGACCCAUGGGGUUUAGAGAGGCCUCUGUUGAGGUGAUGUGUUUGGGUACUGGGGCAGAUGGCCAUGGCGGCCCCAUGAGGCCCCCGCUGCCCCCAAGAGAGAUGGGCUUCGCACCCACAGCAGCACCCGCUAACCCGUGGGAGGACUCACUGUGGUUUUGUCUCUGCAGCCAGAGCACAACAUCGAUUUCGUCAGCAGGGACCUGCUUGUGCAUUUCAUCAGGAAGCUGCAGGCCCACGUCCUGCUCAUCAAGUAAGU